AGUGAACGCUGGCGGUAGGCCUAACACAUGCAAGUCGAACGGCAGCACAGUAAGAGCUUGCUCUUACGGGUGGCGAGUGGCGGACGGGUGAGGAAUACAUCGGAAUCUACUUUUUCGUGGGGGAUAACGUAGGGAAACUUACGCUAAUACCGCAUACGACCUACGGGUGAAAGCAGGGGAUCUUCGGACCUCGCGCGAUUGAAUGAGCCGAUGUCGGAUUAGCUAGUUGGCGGGGUAAAGGCCCACCAAGGCGACGAUCCGUAGCUGGUCUGAGAGGAUGAUCAGCCACACUGGAACUGAGACACGGUCCAGACUCCUACGGGAGGCAGCAGUGGGGAAUAUUGGACAAUGGGCGCAAGCCUGAUCCAGCCAUACCGCGUGGGUGAAGAAGGCCUUCGGGUUGUAAAGCCCUUUUGUUGGGAUAGAAAAGCAGCAGGUUAAUACCCCGCUGUUCUGACGGUACCCAAAGAAUAAGCACCGGCUAACUUCGUG
This 492-nucleotide ribosomal RNA is filed under the name uncultured bacterium. Its description in RNAcentral is "partial 16S ribosomal RNA". It matches the Rfam family "Bacterial small subunit ribosomal RNA", at positions 29 to 507 of the family's 1533-position model. The record is from RNAcentral.